UUACACAACGCGACAGUCACAAACGGAUGCUAUGAGUGUAUCCACCCACGUACAUGGCCUUUUAGUUGGGUCAUGUGUGCUGUAAUGCUUUUACCCAAGACUGACAUAUGCUAAUGGAUCGGGAAAAGUAGACUGACAUGGCUCUCGUCGACGAUGGAAAACGGCGAGCUCUCAACCGGUGGCUAUCCUCGACGAAGGAAACAUCGAUUUCUCUCUCGUGGUGGCUCUCUGAGACGAGGGAGAAUCGGCGAUUGUUUCUCAAGGGAAUCUUAAGAGGCAUGAUCCUGGCAUGAUCCAGAAUCAUAUCAAGCUGCAACAAAAGGGCUACGACUGUUCAGACAGUUCUGUGGGUGUUAUGAAGCGGCAACUAGAGAGAAAAGUAGCGGAUGCAAUGAGAAUGAUGUCCUGAAAAGAGCUCAUGACAAGAAGAAAUUCAUCCUUGAGCAUGCUUGGAAGGAGUUGCGGAACGAUCAGAAGUGGUGUGACUUUGCCACUGCCAAAAAUGAUGGUGGCUCUAAGAAGAGGAAGUGUGAUAAUGGUGCAGAUUCAUCAAGCUCUCAAGCUACUGAAUCAAAGCAUCUCGCGGGUGUGAAGGCUGCAAAGGCCCGUGGUAAGAAGACUAUGGCAGAGGAUAAUGCGCUGAAUGGGUUUCAGAGAAUGUGGGACAUUAAAUAGCAGGACUUGGCAAUGAAGGAGAGAUUAUCAAAGAUGAGUCUACUUGACUCUCUUAUUGCAAAAAAAGAACCUCUAGCAGAAUAUGAAGAAACCCUCAAGGAGAAGCUCAUCAGUGACUUAAUGUCUAAUUAGUUUAAGUGUCAAGCAGAGGGAGCAAACAGACAUAAGGAGUAGAGUUGUAGUCUUGUGGUCUUGUCGUGGAACAAAGAGAGACAAGGAGUAGAGUUGUAGUCUUGUGGUCUUGUCGUGGAGCAAACAGAGACAAGGAGUAGAGUUGCAGUCUUGUGGUCUUAUCGUGGAGCAAACAGAGACAAGGAGUAGAGUUGUAGUCUUGUGUCACAGAGUGAAAGAGUUGUAGUCUUGUGUCACGGAGUUUCGUUCAUGCAUGUUGUCAGGAGUCUUGUUUUUUUUCAACGUGUAUUGUUGUAAUCUUGUGUCACAAGAUGAAGUACCAAAUAUCAUGGUUUGUUCUUUCACAAACUCAUUCUCUAUAUAAAGUCUCGUUGUAUUUUUCACAAACUCAUUCUCUCCUUCUCAUAAAACAAAGAUCAUGUUUUGAUCAAACAAAGAUCAUUCUCUCUUUCAUUUGUAUUUUUUUUUGAACACCAAUAUGAUCGUUUGAUCACAAACUCAAUCCCUCCUCAUAAAACAAAGAUCAUGGUUUGAUCAAACAAAGAUCAUUCUCUCUUUCAUUUGUUUUUUUCUAACACCAAUAUGAUCGUUUGAUCACAAACUCAAAUUCAUCUGUUUUUUUUAACUCUCCAAAAAUGGCAUUUUCUUCUCAUAAUACCUUUAAUGGAUCAAUUGAAGAUACUUUUGAUCAAUAUUUUGAUCAAACGUUCGAGAAUUUUUCUAUUCAUAAUGGUGUUCAAGAAGAAGAAAGGAAAAGAAGGAAAAAACUUGUUUAUAUCGAGAGAAAUCGUGAAGAAUUUGACGUACAUUUAUGGAAUGAUUAUUUCAGUAAAACUCCAACAUACCCUCACAAUCUAUUCCGACGACGAUUUAGAAUGAACAAAUCAUUGUUCAUGCAUAUUGUUGAUCGACUCUCCAAUGA
Molecule: long non-coding RNA, 1729 nt
Organism: Brassica oleracea var. oleracea
Lineage: Eukaryota; Viridiplantae; Streptophyta; Magnoliopsida; Brassicales; Brassicaceae
Exons: 4
Source: RefSeq, a predicted model, not a curated record